GAAAUGCGAUAAUUAAUGUGAAUUGCAGAAUUCAGUGAAUCAUCGAGUCUUUGAACGCACAUUGCGCCCCCUGGUAUUCCGGGGGGCAUGCCUGUCCGAGCGUCAUUGCUGCCCUCAAGCACGGCUUGUGUGUUGGGCUUCCGUCCCUGGCAACGGGGACGGGCCCAAAAGGCAGUGGCGGCACCAUGUCUGGUCCUCGAGCGUAUGGGGCUUUGUCACCCGCUCCCGUAGGUCCAGCUGGCAGCUAGCCUCGCAACCAAUCUUUUUAACCAGGUUGACCUCGGAUCAGGUAGGGAUACCCGCCGAACUUAAGC
RNAcentral lists this unclassified non-coding RNA (314 nucleotides) under plant metagenome. RNAcentral's name for it is "partial contains 5.8S ribosomal RNA, internal transcribed spacer 2, and large subunit ribosomal RNA". The stretch from base 1 to 105 matches the Rfam family "5.8S ribosomal RNA", at positions 50 to 154 of the family's 154-position model. The record is from RNAcentral.